UCGGGGCCCCCCCGCGUCGAUUUCUUUACCCUGUGGGAAACCGUGAUAAGGGGACACCGAGUGCCAGCAUCAUAUGCUGGCUGUCCAGGUGUGUAAAAUACACCUGUUAGCAAGGGCCGGGCAAGACCGGCGCCAGCCGCCGCGGUAACACCGGCGGCCCGAGUGGUGAUCGUGAUUAUUGGGUCUAAAGGGUCCGUAGCCGGUUUGGUCAGUCCUCCGGGAAAUCUGAUAGCUCAACUAUGAGGCUUUCGGGGGAUACUGCCAGACUUGGAACCGGGAGAGGUAAGAGGUACUACGGGGGUAGGAGUGAAAUCUUGUAAUCCCUGUGGGACCACCUGUGGCGAAGGCGUCUUACCAGAACGGGUUCGACGGUGAGGGACGAAAGCUGGGGGCACGAACCGGAUUAGAUACCCGGGUAGUCCCAGCCGUAAACGAUGCUCGCUAGGUGUCAGACAUGGCGCGACCGUGUCUGGUGCCGCAGGGAAGCCGUGAAGCGAGCCACCUGGGAAGUACGGCCGCAAGGCUGAAACUUAAAGGAAUUGGCGGGGGAGCAC
RNAcentral lists this ribosomal RNA (554 nucleotides) under uncultured archaeon. RNAcentral's name for it is "bacterial SSU rRNA". It matches the Rfam family "Archaeal small subunit ribosomal RNA", at positions 325 to 879 of the family's 1478-position model. The record is from RNAcentral.